GGUUAAGUGACUAAGCGUACACGGUGGAUGCCUUGGCAAUCAGAGGCGAUGAAGGACGUGCUAAUCUGCGAUAAGCUUGGAAGAGUUGAUAAGAAACGUGAUAAUUCCAAGAUUUCCGAAUGGGGAAACCCAAUAGGUGAAGAACCUAUUAUUAAUGACUGAAUACAUAGGUCAUUAAAGCGAACCGGGAGAACUGAAACAUCUAAGUACCCCGAGGAAAAGAAAUCAACCGAGAUUCUGUGAGUAGCGGCGAGCGAAAGCGGAAGAGCCAGUUAGUUUUAGCAGUAGUAUUAAGAGAAUGAGUUGGGAAACUCAAUCAAAGAGGGUGAUAAUCCCGUAUCUGAAAAUACAAUUGUGGAACUAAGCUAACGAUAAGUAGGGCGGGACACGUGAUAUCCUGUUUGAAGAUGGGGGGACCAUCCUCCAAGGCUAAAUACUCCUGAUUGACCGAUAGUGAACGAGUACUGUGAAGGAAA
RNAcentral lists this ribosomal RNA (476 nucleotides) under Phocoenobacter skyensis. RNAcentral describes it as "partial 23S ribosomal RNA". It matches the Rfam family "Bacterial large subunit ribosomal RNA", at positions 1 to 512 of the family's 2925-position model. Lineage: Bacteria; Pseudomonadati; Pseudomonadota; Gammaproteobacteria; Pasteurellales; Pasteurellaceae. The record is from RNAcentral.